Molecule: ribosomal RNA, 1487 nt
Filed under: uncultured Bordetella sp.
Lineage: Bacteria; Pseudomonadati; Pseudomonadota; Betaproteobacteria; Burkholderiales; Alcaligenaceae
Description: partial 16S-23S ribosomal RNA intergenic spacer
Rfam family: Bacterial small subunit ribosomal RNA
Source: RNAcentral
GGUUUGAUUCUGGCUCAGAUUGAACGCUGGCGGGAUGUCUUUACACAUGCAAGUCAGACGGCGGCACGGACUUCGGUCUGGUGGCGAGUGGCGAACGGGUGAUAUUAUCGGAACGUGCCUAGUAGCGGGGAUAACUACGCGAAAGCGUAGCUAAUACCGCAUACGCCCUUCGAGGGGAAAGCGGGGGACCUUCGGGCCUCGCACUAUUAAACGGCCGAUAUCGAAGAAAGUUGGCUGGUGAGGUAACGGCUCACCAAGGCGACGAUCCGUAGCUGGUUUGAGAGGACGACCAGCCACACUGGGACUGAGACGGCCCAGACUCUACGGGAGGCAGCAGUGAAAUUUUGGACAAUGGGGGAAACCUGAUCCAGCCAUCCCGCGUGUGCGAUGAAGGCCUUCGGGUUGUAAAGCACUUUUGGCAGGAAAGAAACGGCACGGGAUAAUACCCCGUGCGCUGACGUACCUGCAGAAUAGGCACCGGCUAACUACGUGCCAGCAGCCGCGGUAAUACGUAAGUGCAAGCGUUAAUCGGAAUUACUGGGCGUAAAGCGUGCGCAGGCGGUUCCGGAAAGAAAAGAUGUGAAAUCCCAGAGCUUAACUUUGGAACUGCAUUUUAACUACCGAGCUAGAGUGUGUCAGAGGGAGGUGGAAUUCCGCGUGUAGCAGUGAAAUGCGUAGAUAUGCGGAGGAGCACCGAUGGCGAAAGGCAGCCUCCUGGGAUAACACUGACGCUCAUGCACGAAAAACGUGGGGAGCAAACAGGAUUAGAUACCCUGUUAGUCCACGCCCUAAACGAUGUCAACUAGCUGUUGGGGCCUUCGGGCCUUGGUAGCGCAACUAACGCGUGAAGUUGACCGCCUGGGGAGUACGGUCGCAAGAUUAAAACUCAAAGGAAUUGACGGGGACCCGCACAAGCGGUGGAUGAUGUGGAUUAAUUCGAUGCAACGCGAAAAACCUUACCUACCCUUGACAUGUCUGGAAUCCCGAAGAGAUUUGGGAGUGCUCGCAAGAGAACCGGAACACAGGUGCUGCAUGGCUGUCGUCAGCUCGUGUCGUGAGAUGUUGGGUUAAGUCCCGCAACGAGCGCAACCCUUGUCAUUAGUUGCUACGAAAGAGGCACUCUAAUGAGACUGCCGGUGACAAACCGGAGGAAGGUGGGGAUGACGUCAAGUCCUCAUGGCCCUUAUGGGUAGGGCUUCACACGUCAUACAAUGGUCGGGACAGGGGUCGCCAGCCCGCGAGGGGCGUUCCAAUCCCAGAAACCCGAUCGUAGUCCGGAUCGCAGUCUGCAACUCGACUGCGUGAAGUCGGAAUCGCUAGUAAUCGCGGAUCAGCAUGUCGCGGUGAAUACGUUCCCGGGUCUUGUACACACCGCCCGUCACACCAUGGGAGUGGGUUUUACCAAGAAGUAGUUAGCCUAACCGUAAGGAGGCGAUUACCACGGUAGGAUUCGCAGUGACUGGGGUGAAGUCGGCAACAAAAGGUAG